UUAAAAAAAAACUUUACAAACAUUAUGUAAAAUGGACCAUCUUGAAAAUAAAUUAUAAGUAAAAUAUUUAGCAGCGGUACCAAUUUUGGGUUAUAAUAAUUAUGAACGAUAUAAUGUACAUUUCAAAAUAAACGAUCAAACCAAUAAAAUUUUGAUUAGAAUUAAUUUUACUUUGCCUUUGCCCUAUACUGGUGCUAAUUCGGAUGUACACAAAUCUAUUGACACUUACAAUUGUCAAUUUAGAGUUUGCACUUUUAGGCAAGUGGCACAAGAAUAUGUACAAUGAUUUAGUUAAGUUUUUAAUGCUGUCUCUUUUUGGCAACCGCAUUAUGUUCUAGUCAAAAAGUGACAGCAUUACAAAUUAAAUCUUUUUAACUGAUAUCCUUGUGCAGACUUUUGAUCUUUAGUUUACUUUCAAGAUUUGUUUACACUCGAAUUUUGGAAGUUGGUUAAAAAUAGAUGCCUAUUUGGUUGUACAUAUAUUUCUAAACUCAAUUGACAGGCCUAAAAUUCGUCGUCGUACUAUCCAACGCGCGUCCACUAUAAGGAUUCUGUACCCCUUGUAUUGUACCGUGUUCCACUAUGGAUUUCUUGAAGCGGAAUUUACAUUACGAAAUUAGUUUUACGACAUUAGUUUCAUUAUCAAUUGCACGUGUAAACGUUUAAUUUCGUAAUGCAUCUAAUUUUGGAAUGCAUGCAUUACGAAAGAAGACGUCUACACAUGCAAUUGAUAAUGAAAUUAAUGUGAAACUAAUUUCGUAAUGUAAAUUCCGCUUAUGACCACAAUAUUAAGCUUGCAACUGCGGCCUUAAAAUUAGUACGAACCAUUCUAUAAGUACUAGCACUAAUUUUAGAUUUGUCAGUUUUGGUUGAGACACCUUCAAACAAUUCGCCAGUAAUAAUCAAAAGGCAAUUUCCAAACCUAGAUUAUUAUUAUAAAUUAUUAUUAAUUAGUUGUGAACCGUGAGUCUACUACAGUAUUCAGUUUACUUAGUAAGUAUUAAUAAAAUUCCUUUGUGAUUAUUUUGGCUAUUGAACUCGAAUGUAUGACCGUCUGUACGGUGCGAAUGUUAUUUUAUAUUUAUAAUUGACAAUGAUUGGUUUUAUAUUAUUUUUAUCGUACUGUGAUGGUUUUACUACUUACAUACUUAUUUUAAUUUUGUUGUUUAUUUUUAUUGUUUAUUGGAGCGAUAGUGGGGUUAUGGUGAUCGCACACUACCCAAGUGCCGCAGGCAACGCGUGCUACACCAUCUCAUACGAGCCGUAUUAAAUGAAAAUGUUUUAUUUGUAGGAAUAAUUAGUGUUAUUGUGCUCUAAAGAUAUAGUUUUCUGUCAUAGCAUUAUAGUCAUGUUGCAGCCACCAUAUGACAUCCCUUUUACGUUUUAAACGUCGAUUAAAGUUUUAAACGAAUGACGUCUGUGAGAGGUAAUCUAUUAAAAAAAGAGAUUUCUUAAAGUGGUCUCUCUAUACUCUAUCCACGGAUAGAAGUUAGUAUAUCGUUCUCUCUGUUACGUAAUUCCAUACAAAUGAUAGAGACAAAAAUCUCUGUGGGUGUUAACAGUUUUGCGUCACGAACUAAUCACAAACAUGUUUUCAAUAACAUUCGAAAUUCAAUUAGAAAACAUAGUUUCAUUUGUGAUUGGUUGGUGACUCAAAAUUGUUAGCGCCCACUGAAAUUUUUGUCUCUAUCAUUUAUAUGGAUUUAGUAACAGAAAGAGUGCUUAUUUCUUUCCGGCGGAUAGAGUAUAGCAUAGCUCCUACUUUUCGAUUCCUAUACAUCGAAAUCUUUGUUUGUUUAAAUUUAGUCUAGUAGAAUAUGUAUUUGAAUUUGAUAUUAAUAAGUUGGCGGAAUAAAAUAAUGUAAAAUAGUUUUCUGCCAAGCUUGCUAUGACUAGUCUUAGUUUUUUUAUAGUUAUGAAAUAAUUUUGGGUCUAGCGUAUGUACCUAUAAAAUAACUUCGUUAUUUAAAUUCUUAAUCAAUUUAUCAACUUAUGUACAUUGGACACUGGUAUACAAGAUGUUUUGUUUAAUUAUUAUUUACCUGAGCACCAGUUUAAUGAUAAAGUCAAUUUAAACUCGAAUUAAUGACAUCAAAAAGCAGUAAAUGAUUGUCAAUUUUCCUUUAUGAAAUGUGAUAUACUUCACAUGUAUGUAUGUACCUAUGUGAACAUAUUUUAAGUGAUAUUUUUGGUUGAUGGCAUAUAUUUUGUUAUUUUCUAUCUUAGGAAACUAUUAAAGUAACAAUUUUACUGA
This is a long non-coding RNA of Maniola jurtina (meadow brown), 2254 nucleotides long. RefSeq lists it as uncharacterized. The record is from RefSeq and is a predicted model, not a curated record. NCBI's taxonomy places the organism in Eukaryota, Metazoa, Arthropoda, Insecta, Lepidoptera, Nymphalidae. The transcript is spliced from 2 exons.